Crocodylus porosus (Australian saltwater crocodile) is the source of this 117-nucleotide ribosomal RNA. The record is from Ensembl. Lineage: Eukaryota; Metazoa; Chordata; Crocodylia; Crocodylidae.
GCCUGCAGCUGUAUCACCCUGGGCUGUGAUCUUGUCAUCUCUCAUAAGCUAAACAGGGCUAAGCCUGGUCAGGGCUUGGAAGGGAGGCCUCUAGGGGAAGCCCAAAUGCUGCAGGAA